This 492-nucleotide ribosomal RNA is filed under the name uncultured bacterium. RNAcentral's name for it is "partial 16S ribosomal RNA". It matches the Rfam family "Bacterial small subunit ribosomal RNA", at positions 28 to 507 of the family's 1533-position model. The record is from RNAcentral.
GAUGAACGCUAGCUACAGGCUUAACACAUGCAAGUCGAGGGGAAACGACAUCGAAAGCUUGCUUUUGAUGGGCGUCGACCGGCGCACGGGUGAGUAACGCGUAUCCAACCUGCCCAUCACUUGGGAAUAACCUUGCGAAAGUAAGACUAAUACCCAAUGAUAUCCCACGAAGGCAUCGGAAUGGGAUUAAAGAUUUAUCGGUGAUGGAUGGGGAUGCGUCUGAUUAGCUUGUUGGCGGGGUAACGGCCCACCAAGGCAACGAUCAGUAGGGGUUCUGAGAGGAAGGUCCCCCACAUUGGAACUGAGACACGGUCCAAACUCCUACGGGAGGCAGCAGUGGGGAAUAUUGGUCAAUGGGCGAGAGCCUGAACCAGCCAAGUAGCGUGCAGGAAGACGGCCCUAUGGGUUGUAAACUGCUUUUAGAAGGGAAUAAAGUGGGUCACGUGUGACUUUUUGCAUGUACCUUAUGAAUAAGGACCGGCUAAUUCCGUG